CCGAGCACAUGGGCCCGCGGGCCGGGCGGGCUCGGGGCGGCCGGGACGAGGAGGGGCGACGACGAGCUGCGAGCAAAGAUGUGCCCCGGGACCCCCGGCACCUUCCAGUGGAUUUCCUUGCGGAAAGGAUGUUGGCGGUCCCUGUGACCUGUGGAGACACGGCCAGAUCUGCCCUCCAGCCUGAUCUUUUGGCCAGAAGGAGAUUAAAAAGAUGCCCCUCAAGAUGGCUGUGCCUGUCAGCUGCAUGGAGCUUCGUUCAAGUAUUUUCUGAGCCUGAUGGAUUUACAGUGAUCUUCAGUGGUCUGGGGAAUAACGCUGGUGGAACCAUGCACUGGAAUGACACACGCCCGGCACAUUUCAGGAUACUAAAAGUGGUUUUAAGGGAGGCUGUGGCUGAAUGCCUCAUGGAUUCUUACAGCUUGGAUGUCCAUGGGGGACGAAGGACUGCAGCUGGCUGAGAGGGUUGAGAUCUCUGUUUACUUAGAUCUCUGCCAACUUCCUUUGGGUCUCCCUAUGGAAUGUAAGACCCCGACUCUUCCUGGUGAAGCAUCUGAUGCACGUUCCAUCCGGCGCUCAGCUGGGCUUGAGCUGACCAUACUCCCUGGAGCCUUCUCCCGAGGUGCGCGGGUGACCUUGGCACAUACAGCCAUCAUGAUGGUACUUUAAGUGGAGGCUGAAUCAUCUCCCCUUUGAGCUGCUUGGCACGUGGCUCCCUUGGUGUUCCCCUUUUACUGCCAGGACACUGAGAUUUGGAGAGGUAAGUGGCUUACCUGAGGCCAUGUGCUAACAGAGAAGAUGAAGAGAUGAUUGAAACAGGCCUAAGACCAGACCUAAGGGUCUGUACAUUUUCCACAUACUUUCCAUAUCUUUAGAGGCCUGACCAAAGCAGAUCUUUUCCUUUCUUCUAGGUAAGUCCAAAGGCACCUGCCUGCUGGGCCCACUGUUUUCUAACUUUCCUAACUUUCUGAUCCCUUGGAGGUGAUAAUCAAAUAUUCUAGUCUGAGGCAUUGGGAUACAUGGUGCUAGGUUCUGAGACUCUGCGUCAGGCCUGAACCCUGCAUUUUGUGGAGGUGGGUGGGAGAAUGUUCCCCUGGGGAACAUGCCUAGACACGGGGGACAACAGUUGCCCUCAUGGGGAGGUACCUGUUUACUCGCUGUUAUGGGACCGCUUUCACAAAACCACUGCAGGUGAGUGAGUUCCUGCUGAAUAUCAGGCCUGGUGUCUCUAGACUCAUUAUUUCCCCCACCCAACCCCUAUGUUAGUUCAUCUCGAGCCACAUUUUUAUUGCCAUAAUCCAGGCCUGGACAGGCCAAGAUCUUUUAACAAUUUUAAUUACUGAAAAUAAUAACUGCAUUUUUUUUAAAGCCCAACUUUUGGUAGAGUCAGCCCAAAAUACAGUCUUUGUGUUGCCAUCUGGGAACUGGAUUUGGAAUUGUUCUUCCAUGAGACUGCAGAGCAGAACGGCAGGGCCAGAGGUCCCACGAGCUGGUCAGACCCGGUUCUGCUCCUUGCUGGCUGAGUGACCUUGGGCAUU
RNAcentral lists this long non-coding RNA (1535 nucleotides) under Homo sapiens (human). RNAcentral's name for it is "non-protein coding PVT1:12". The stretch from base 1 to 178 matches the Rfam family "Pvt1 oncogene conserved region 1". Lineage: Eukaryota; Metazoa; Chordata; Mammalia; Primates; Hominidae. The record is from RNAcentral.